This 510-nucleotide ribosomal RNA is filed under the name Triticum aestivum (bread wheat). RNAcentral's name for it is "partial small subunit ribosomal RNA". The record is from RNAcentral. Lineage: Eukaryota; Viridiplantae; Streptophyta; Magnoliopsida; Poales; Poaceae.
AUGAAAGGAGGCAAGGCGAUGGGCCCUGAUUGUAUCCCCAUUGAGGUGUGGAAAGGUCUCGGGGACAUAGCGAUAGUAUGGCUAACCAAGCUUUUCAACCUUAUUUUUCGGGCAAACAAGAUGCCAGAAGAAUGGAGACGGAGUAUAUUAGUACCAAUCUUCAAGAACAAGGGAGAUGUUCAGAGUUGUACUAAUUACCGUGGAAUUAAGCUGAUGAGCCAUACAAUAAAGCUAUGGGAGAGAGUCAUUGAGCACCGCUUAAGAAGAAUGACAAGCGUGACCAAAAAUCAGUUUGGUUUCAUGCCUGGGAGGUCGACCAUGGAAGCCAUUUUCUUGGUACGACAACUUAUGGAGCAUAAGGACUUGCAUAUGGUGUUCAUUGACUUGGAGAAGGCCUAUGAUAAGAUACCGCGGAAUGUCAUGUGGUGGGCCUUGGAGAAACACAAAGUCCCAGCAAAGUACAUUACCCUCAUCAAGGACAUGUACAAUAAUGUUGUGACAAGUGUUUGA